RNAcentral lists this transfer RNA (96 nucleotides) under Thauera sp. DNT-1. RNAcentral's name for it is "tRNA-Pro". The record is from RNAcentral. Lineage: Bacteria; Pseudomonadati; Pseudomonadota; Betaproteobacteria; Rhodocyclales; Zoogloeaceae. RNAcentral also lists the same sequence under 1 other name.
GCUCGAUCUUGCUGUAGGCGAGCAGCACCGCCAGCUCGGGGCUGGUGAGGCCGACGCCGGCGGCCUUGCGCUCGGCGAUCUCCUCGUCGUCGGGCA